This 461-nucleotide ribosomal RNA is filed under the name uncultured bacterium. RNAcentral describes it as "partial 16S ribosomal RNA". It matches the Rfam family "Bacterial small subunit ribosomal RNA", at positions 338 to 795 of the family's 1533-position model. The record is from RNAcentral.
CCUACGGGGGGCAGCAGUGAGGAAUAUUGGUCAAUGGGCGGGAGCCUGAACCAGCCAAGUCGCGUGAGGGAAGACGGUCCUAUGGAUUGUAAACCUCUUUAGGCGGGGCGCAAUGCCGGGCACGCGUGCCCGGAGGGAGAGUACCCGCAGAAUAAGCAUCGGCUAACUCCGUGCCAGCAGCCGCGGUAAUACGGAGGAUCCGAGCGUUAGCCGGAUUUAUUGGGUUUAAAGGGAGCGUAGGUGGAUUGUUAAGUCAGUUGUGAAAGUUUGCGGCUCAACCGUAAAAUUGCAGUUGAAACUGGCAGUCGUGAGUACAGUAGAGGUGGGCGGAAUUCGUGGUGUAGCGGUGAAAUGCUUAGAUAUCACGAAGAACUCCGAUUGCGAAGGCAGCUCACUGGACUGCAACUGACACUGAGGCUCGAAAGUGUGGGUAUCAAACAGGAUUAGAUACCCCUGUAGUC